Molecule: unclassified non-coding RNA, 195 nt
Filed under: plant metagenome
Description: partial contains small subunit ribosomal RNA, internal transcribed spacer 1, and 5.8S ribosomal RNA
Source: RNAcentral
UCUCCGUUGGUGAACCAGCGGAGGGAUCAUUACCGAGUUCACAUCUCCCAAACCCCUGUGAACAUACCAUUUGUUGCCUCGGCGGUGCCUGCUUCGGCAGCCCGCCAGAGGACCCAAACCCUUGAUUUUAUACAGUAUCUUCUGAGUAAAUGAUUAAAUAAAUCAAAACUUUCAACAACGGAUCUCUUGGUUCUG